Molecule: long non-coding RNA, 1603 nt
Filed under: Carica papaya (papaya)
Lineage: Eukaryota; Viridiplantae; Streptophyta; Magnoliopsida; Brassicales; Caricaceae
Description: long non-coding RNA (CPAP_LNC012036)
Source: RNAcentral
UUUGAAAAUAAGAACAUGAACCAGGCCUGCACCACACAUAAAGGUCUGGUUCAUGUGGUGUAGAAGAAGGAGAAGAAAGAGUUAAAGAGUAUAUUACUGCCAGAUCGACCUUACUCCCUCUUGUCUUCUACAAAACGAGAGAAACAAAAUUAAAUUGCAGGAAUUUUCUCUGCAACUCUUACUCUAAUCUCUCACUUUCAUACCUUUUGUAAAUAUAUUUUUAUUUUAAUACUACAAUUAUUAUUUUUUGUGGGUACAAGUGUAUAUAUAUAUAUAUGUAUAUAUAUUUAAAAGACAAACACAAUAAUUUAUACAGAGAGGAUAUUUUGUGUGUAUACAAGAGAGCAGUCACGAGGAGAAGUAAGUCUUACACAAUACACAGAGAUCUAAAGAGAAUAAUUAUUCUCUUUUACUUCCUUUCUUCCCCCAACAACAAAUAAAACAAAGAAACUGCUGCCUGCAAAAGCAUUUUUCUGCACCACAUAACACCAAAUUCAUAUUGAUGGCCUCGUAAAUUAUAUUGAUUUUCUCUUUUCUAGUUUCAACUGUACAAAACUAUGUCCUUUCAGAUUAUCCAAAACUAAAAUACAGAAUACGAUUUAGGGUUUUGCUUUUUUUUUUUUCUCGGUUGGAAAAUUUUCAUGGAGAGACAUGAUAGGUGCUGGUUUAUAUUUGAGUAGCUCAGGAGGGAUAGACAAGGAAGGAGAACGUGAGUUGGACGGGAACGGAAACAGACAAUCAUCAAACACCGUGUCAGUCGGUGACUGACAUAGAGUUUGUGAGUAAAAGAAGAAAAAAGAGAUCGAACACAACGUGGGGUCUUACAAGGUCAAGAAAAGGUCUUACAAGGUCAAGAAGGAAGCACGAACGGAUUAAAGAAAGCGGGACGAAGAAUGGAAGAAAGCGACAAACAGAAAAGAAUAAAGCUCGGGUAGGAUAGCACCAAUAAUUUUUUAUCCGAAACAAUAAGAUUUUCCCAAGAAUAUGAAUGGAGUUGUACGAGUAGUCCUUGAAAGAGUCGAAUAAUUGGUUCUGCUGCUCAUACGGCUUCCAUGCAUCAAUCUUGUUUUGCCUUGAGGUAGGUGAUGGUGAUGGUGAUGGUGACGGUGACGGUGAUGAUCAUGAUGAUGAAGAUGAUAACCUGCAUGACAAUCAUGUAGGUGGAACAUGAAUAAUAAUCAUCUCGUGAUGAUUUCAGAAUGAUGGACAUCAAAAUCAAUAACGUAAUUGGAAAAGCAAAUGAGAAGCAUACAUUUACGUAAUAUAACAACUAGUAAGAACCCAAAAUUUUUACGUAUUCCUGUUACUAAAAUGAAAAUAUACCCAAUAAAUAUCUAUGCAAGACACACACACACACACACACACACACCUGGUAGUAAGUUCAUUCCUGAAGCUUCUUUUUACGGAGAGGGUGAAAUGUGAAAGUGGAGAAGAGGAAGGAAGAGUGAGAGAGAGCGAGGGAGGGAGGGAGGGAGGGAGGGAGGAAGGGGAAAGCCUUUUUAAGGGGCUGCAGUGAUGGACCUGACAGUGACAGGCCCAGGAAGAAUGUAAAAAACACGGGCUGGAUGACGUCAGCGCAUAGUGGGAACCGCCUGCCCAAAUU